GAUGAAGAACGUAGCGAAAUGCGAUAUGUAAUGUGAAUUGCAGAAUUCAGUGAAUCAUCGAAUCUUUGAACGCACAUUGCGCCCCCUGGUAUUCCGGGGGGCAUGCCUGUUCGAGCGUCAUUUCACCACUCAAGCCUCGCUUGGUAUUGGGCAACGCGGUCCGCCGCGUGCCUCAAAUCGACCGGCUGGGUCUUCUGUCCCCUAAGCGUUGUGGAAACUAUUCGCUAAAGGGUGUUCGGGAGGCUACGCCGUAAAACAACCCCAUUUCUAAGGUUGACCUCGGAUCAGGUAGGGAUACCCGCUGAACUUAAGCAUAUCAAUAAGCGGAGGA
This 331-nucleotide unclassified non-coding RNA is filed under the name soil metagenome. Its description in RNAcentral is "partial contains 5.8S ribosomal RNA, internal transcribed spacer 2, and large subunit ribosomal RNA". The stretch from base 1 to 120 matches the Rfam family "5.8S ribosomal RNA", at positions 35 to 154 of the family's 154-position model. The record is from RNAcentral.